RNAcentral lists this ribosomal RNA (504 nucleotides) under uncultured Gammaproteobacteria bacterium. Its description in RNAcentral is "bacterial SSU rRNA". It matches the Rfam family "Bacterial small subunit ribosomal RNA", at positions 1 to 487 of the family's 1533-position model. Lineage: Bacteria; Pseudomonadati; Pseudomonadota; Gammaproteobacteria. The record is from RNAcentral.
UUGAGUUUGAUCCUGGCUCAGAUUGAACGCUGGCGGCAUGCUUUAGACAUGCAAGUCGAACGGAAACAGGACGCUGUGAUCUCUUCGGAGUGGACUUGUCGCUGUCGAGUGGCGGACGGGUGAGUAAUGCUUAGGAAUCUGCCCAGUAGUGGGGGACAACAGCUGGAAACGACUGCUAAUACCGCAUACGCCCUUCGGGGGAAAGCGGGGGACCUUCGGGCCUCGCGCUAUUGGAUGAGCCUAAGUCGGAUUAGCUUGUUGGUGGGGUAAUGGCCUACCAAGGCGACGAUCCGUAGCUGGUCUGAGAGGAUGAUCAGCCACACUGGGACUGAGACACGGCCCAGACUCCUACGGGAGGCAGCAGUCGGGAAUAUUGGACAAUGGGCGCAAGCCUGAUCCAGCAAUGCCGCGUGUGUGAAGAAGGCCUGAGGGUUGUAAAGCACUUUCAGUGGGGAGGAAAAGCCUAAGGUUAAUAGCCUUGAGCCUUGACGUUACCUACAGAAG